This is a non-coding RNA of Chiloscyllium plagiosum (whitespotted bambooshark), 335 nucleotides long. The record is from RefSeq and is a predicted model, not a curated record. Lineage: Eukaryota; Metazoa; Chordata; Chondrichthyes; Orectolobiformes; Hemiscylliidae.
UUUCUUUUCUGAUCUACACACUCUGUAGAUCAAAUACAAGGAAGGUAUUGGGAAAGGAACUGCAAUCUCUGACCUGCCUGAGGUGAAGCGUGUAAAAGAGACACAGAAGAACAUCAGCUCGGUCUUAUACAAAGAGAACCUGGGUAAAGGAAUCGCUGUGGUGUACACCCCAGAGAUGCAGCGCGUUAAACGCAAUCAAGAAAAUAUUAGCUCGAUACUAUACUCUGACAGCUUCCGGAAGCAAGUACAAGGUCGAGCAGCUUAUGUGUUGGACACACCAGAGAUGAGACGUGUCCGGGAUUCUCAGCGCAAUAUAUCAACAGUAAGUUAAUAUC